This 109-nucleotide small nuclear RNA is filed under the name Octopus vulgaris (common octopus). RNAcentral also lists the same sequence under 1 other name. The record is from RNAcentral. Lineage: Eukaryota; Metazoa; Mollusca; Cephalopoda; Octopoda; Octopodidae.
GUGUUCCACGAACCGGUCUACAUAUACUAAAAUUGGAACGAUACAGAGAAGAUUAGCAUGACCCCUGCGCUAGGAUGACACGCAAAUUCGUGAAGCGUUCCAUAUUUUU